CGAACCGGGGGAACUGAAACAUCUAAGUACCCCGAGGAAAAGAAAUCAACCGAGAUUCCCCCAGUAGCGGCGAGCGAACGGGGAGGAGCCCAGAGCCUGAAUCAGCAUGUGUGUUAGUGGAAGCGUCUGGAAAGGCGCGCGAUACAGGGUGACAGCCCCGUACACAAAAGCGCAUGUGCUGUGAGCUCGAUGAGUAGGGCGGGACACGUGGUAUCCUGUCUGAAUAUGGGGGGACCAUCCUCCAAGGCUAAAUACUCCUGACUGACCGAUAGUGAACCAGUACCGUGAGGGAAAGGCGAAAAGAACCCCGGCGAGGGGAGUGAAAAAGAACCUGAAACCGUGUACGUACAAGCAGUGGGAG
RNAcentral lists this ribosomal RNA (361 nucleotides) under Salmonella enterica subsp. enterica. RNAcentral's name for it is "bacterial LSU rRNA". It matches the Rfam family "Bacterial large subunit ribosomal RNA", at positions 180 to 579 of the family's 2925-position model. RNAcentral also lists the same sequence under 3 other names. The record is from RNAcentral. Lineage: Bacteria; Pseudomonadati; Pseudomonadota; Gammaproteobacteria; Enterobacterales; Enterobacteriaceae.